Molecule: ribosomal RNA, 254 nt
Filed under: uncultured bacterium
Lineage: Bacteria
Also listed under: 1 other name
Description: partial 16S ribosomal RNA
Rfam family: Bacterial small subunit ribosomal RNA
Source: RNAcentral
UACGGGGGGAGCAAGCGUUGUUCGGAUUUACUGGGCGUAAAGGGCGCGUAGGCGGCCACCGCAAGUCAGUUGUGAAAGCUCUGGGCUUAACCCAGAAAGGUCAACUGAUACUGCGGGGCUAGAGUGCAGAAGGGGCAACUGGAAUUCUCGGUGUAGCGGUGAAAUGCGUAGAUAUCGAGAGGAACACCUGCGGCGAAGGCGGGUUGCUGGGCUGACACUGACGCUGAUGUGCGAAAGCUAGGGGAGCGAACGGG